CUGGCUCAGGAUGAACGCUAGCUACAGGCUUAACACAUGCAAGUCGAGGGGCAGCAUGGUCUUAGCUUGCUAAGACUGAUGGCGACCGGCGCACGGGUGAGUAACGCGUAUCCAACCUUCCCCAUAGUAGGGGAUAGCCCGGCGAAAGUCGGAUUAAUACCCUAUGUUAUUCGAUGCAGACAUCUAAGUUGAAUCAAAGGUUUACCGCUAUGGGAUGGGGAUGCGUCUGAUUAGGUUGCAGGCGGGGUAACGGCCCACCUGGCCCACGAUCAGUAGGGGUUCUGAGAGGAAGGUCCCCCCACAUUGGAACUGAGACACGGUCCAAACUCCUACGGGAGGCAGCAGUGAGGAAUAUUGGUCAAUGGACGAGAGUCUGAACCAGCCAAGUAGCGUGCAGGAUGACGGCCCUAUGGGUUGUAAACUGCUUUUAUGCGGGGAUAAAGUGAGGGACGUGUCCCUUUUUGUAGGUACCGCAUGAAUAAGGACCGGCUAAUUCCGUGCCAGCAGCGGC
This 511-nucleotide ribosomal RNA is filed under the name uncultured bacterium. RNAcentral describes it as "bacterial SSU rRNA". It matches the Rfam family "Bacterial small subunit ribosomal RNA", at positions 19 to 518 of the family's 1533-position model. The record is from RNAcentral.